Oreochromis aureus is the source of this 849-nucleotide long non-coding RNA. NCBI's taxonomy places the organism in Eukaryota, Metazoa, Chordata, Actinopteri, Cichliformes, Cichlidae. The record is from Ensembl.
UGUGGGUCUGAAAUUUGCUCAGAGUGAGACAUCGUUAUCACAAGCGAUCUUUGUAUUGUAUGUGCGGAAAUGGGAGCGAGGGAGUGCUCUGAUCUUUUGCCUAUCUUUGACGUGUUUUCUCCGUUAAUGUUGAGAAAAGUGCUUCGGCAGUAUCAAAACUGUGAAUAAGCUCAUGUACACGCUUGUACCUUGGGAAACAUUCGUCUUUCUUCCACAGAUUCAGUAAAAUUAACAAGUGGUGGAGACCAGCAGGUGGAUGAGGGAAGGGGAGGCAGGAGGAGAGACCAGAGGAAGCCGCCGGUCGGAGCGUCAGGUGAACUAAACUUCAGCUGAAAGCUUCAGUCCUGGUGGGAAACAUCACUAAACAUUUAAAGGAUGUAAACAGACAGAGAAGAAGGUUACUGACCUUGGUGUGUUGUGCAGCUCAGCACUGAGAUCAGAACUAAAGAGAAAAGGUUGGUUUGAGUUUUCACAAACAAAUUUCACAAUCAAUAUUUCAUCAAUUAGUCAAUCAGUGAAGUGAUAAGUAAUAUUAUCUUCUGUACUGCUGUGUCUGAUAAAGAGAAGAGAUUCUGUGCUAUUGGGUUUAUGCUUCAUGUCAAAAUGCGAAACUUUUAUAUCUUAAUCUGGGGAGAGAGGAAUUUUUGGUUAAUUGUUAAGCAGGAAAGAUUUUCUGUUUUUGUAUUGUUCUACUUUGUUUUCAUGCUGUAGCCUUUUUGUAUAAAUUGUCUAAAAGACAGCAUGUAUAUUUCACUGUGCAGUUCUGUUUUUAAAAUCACUACAUUGCUAAAUGCAUUUCUUCACAAAUUGUUCAAUUGUGUUAAGAUGGCUAAACCUGCUCUUCACGGC